ACCUGCGCCACCCAAAUGCGGAAAGUUAGGAGAGGAAGAGAGACGGGAGCACACAGACGCACGUUCUAGAGAAAUUAUCAGAACUGUGCAGGGGUUACAGUAAAUUUGCGGACUCGAAGUUGGCGAUACGGUAUCUCGUAAAGCUCCCUUAUUACCCUUUUGAUUAAAAAUAUUACAUACGAGGCGAGGCGGUUUGAGGUUGCGUUAGUAAGUAGACCACGUCCCCAGCCACUCUGGGGAACCAACGGGGAGGUCACCCAGGUCACCCGGCGGUCCCACCCAGGGGCCUCUGCUCCGCUGCCGGCGAGGGCGUAGGCUCAGCAGGCGGAGACAACGCCUAAAGGGACUAGUUGGCACGCAGACCGGGCGUGGUGACGUCAGGGCGGAAGCGCACGCUGCGUGAAGCGGCCAGAACCCGGCGGUCACGGGAAUAUCCGUCGCGCCGAGAACGCUGGUUAGUCUCACUCCGGGUUCCGGCUGCGUUGGGCGUGCGUGCAGCUCGCUGAGACUAUGGCGUCCGGGCCUCACCCGACCGCUACCACUGCCACCGCCGUCUCGUCUGCUGCCCCUAGCGCGGGCGGCUCAAGCUCCGGCACGACGACCACGACGACGACCACGACGGGAGGGAUCCUGAUCGGCGACCGUCUCUACUCGGAAGUUUCGCUCACCAUCGAUCACUCGCUGAUUCCGGAGGAGCGGCUCUCGCCCACCCCUUCCAUGCAGGACGGGCUCGACCUGCCCAGCGAGACAGACUUGCGCAUCCUGGGCUGCGAGCUCAUCCAGGCCGCCGGCAUUCUCCUCCGGCUUCCGCAGGUGGCGAUGGCAACGGGUCAGGUGUUGUUUCAUCGUUUUUUCUACUCCAAGUCUUUCGUCAAACACAGUUUCGAGAUUGUUGCCAUGGCAUGUAUUAAUCUUGCAUCAAAAAUUGAAGAAGCACCUAGAAGAAUAAGAGAUGUGAUUAAUGUAUUUCACCACCUCCGCCAGUUAAGAGGAAAAAGCGACCAGCUACAUUUACCAAAGCCUGGGUGAUGUGGAGUGGUACAUAGCGAUGAAGCUGUCGUCAUGGCAACAGUGAGUGAAGUAUCGAAAAUCCCCAAGGAGAAGCCAGUGCUCUGAGAAUAGGUCACUGGAAUCGGGGACUAACAGGACUCCAAGCCCCCUGAUCCUUGAUCAGAACUACAUUAACACCAAAAAUCAAGUUAUCAAGGCAGAGAGGAGGGUGCUAAAGGAAUUGGGAUUUUGUGUUCAUGUCAAGCAUCCCCAUAAGAUCAUUGUUAUGUAUUUACAAGUCUUAGAAUGUGAACGUAAUCAAACCCUGGUUCAAACUGCCUGGGUAGUCCAUGAUGGAAUUAUAUGAAUGACAGUCUUCGAACCAAUGUAUUUGUUCGAUUUCAACCAGAGACUAUUGCAUGUGCUUGCAUCUACCUUGCAGCUAGAGCUCUUCAGAUUCCAUUGCCAACUCGUCCCCAUUGGUUUCUUCUUUUUGGUACUACGGAAGAGGAGAUCCAAGAAAUCUGCAUAGAAACGCUUAGGCUUUAUACCAGAAAAAAGCCAAACUAUGAAUUGCUGGAAAAAGAAGUAGAGAAAAGAAAAGUUGCCUUACAAGAAGCCAAACUAAAAGCAAAGGGAUUGAAUCCUGAUGGAACUCCAGCCCUUUCAACUCUCGGUGGAUUUUCUCCAGCCUCUAAACCAUCAUCACCAAGAGAAGUAAAAACUGAAGAGAAGUCACCUAUUUCUUCUGUUAAUGUGAAGACGAUAAAAAAAGAACCUGAGGAUAGACAACAGGCUUCUAAAAGCCCUUACAAUGGUGUAAGAAAAGACAGCAAGAGAAGUAGAAAUAGCAGAAGUGCAAGUCGAUCAAGGUCAAGAACACGAUCACGUUCUAGAUCACAUACUCCAAGAAGACAUUAUAACAAUAGGCGGAGUCGAUCUGGAACAUACAGCUCGAGAUCAAGAAGCAGGUCCCGCAGUCACAGUGAAAGCCCAAGACGACAUCAUAAUCAUGGUUCUCCUCACCUUAAAGCCAAGCAUACCAGAGAUGAUUUAAAAAGUUCAAAUAGACAUGGUCAUAAAAGGAAAAAGUCUCGUUCUCGAUCUCAGAGCAAGUCUCGGGAUCACUCAGAUGCUGUCAAGAAACACAGGCAUGAAAGGGGACAUCAUAGGGACAGGCGUGAAAGAUCUCGCUCCUUUGAGAGGUCCCACAAAGGCAAGCACCAUGGUGGCAGUCGCUCAGGACACGGCAGGCACAGACGCUGACUUUCUUCCUUUGAGCCUGCAUCAACUCCUGAUUUUGCCUAUCUACAGUGUGAUGUAUGGACUCAUAAUCAAAAUAUUAAAAGCAAACUGAUUAGGAUUUGAUUUCUUAAACCCUCUAGGUCUCUAGAAACACUGAGGACAUUUUCUUUUGAAAAGAACUAUGUUGUUUUUGUUUUUGUUUUUUUUUUUUGCACAUAAAAUGCCCUAGCAGUAUCUAAUUGAAAACCAUGGUCAGGUUCAAUUGUAAUUAUUAUAGUUGUGUAUUGUUUAUUGCUAUAAGAACUGGAGCGUGAAUUCUGUAAAAAUGUAUCUUAUUUUUAUACAGAUAAAAUUGCAGACACUGUUCUAUUUAAGUGGUUAUUUGUUUAAAUGAUGGUGAAUACUUUCUUAACACUGGUUUGUCUGCAUGUGUAAAGAUUUUUACAAGAAAAUAAAAUACAAAUCUUGUUUUUCUAAA
This is an RNA transcript of Capra hircus (goat), 2713 nucleotides long. It is a transcript of the gene named cyclin L1, with no coding region annotated. The record is from RefSeq and is a predicted model, not a curated record. The transcript is spliced from 13 exons. NCBI's taxonomy places the organism in Eukaryota, Metazoa, Chordata, Mammalia, Artiodactyla, Bovidae.